AGUGAACGCUGGCGGUAGGCCUAGCACAUGCAAGUCGAACGGCAGCACAGUAAGAGCUUGCUCUUACGGGUGGCGAGUGGCGGACGGGUGAGGAAUACAUCGGAAUCUACUUUUUCGUGGGGGAUAACGUAGGGAAACUUACGCUAAUACCGCAUACGACCUACGGGUGAAAGCAGGGGAUCUUCGGACCUUGCGCGAUUGAAUGAGCCGAUGUCGGAUUAGCUAGUUGGCGGGGUAAAGGCCCACCAAGGCGACGAUCCGUAGCUGGUCUGAGAGGAUGAUCAGCCCCACUGGACCUGAGACACGGUCCAGACUCCUACGGGAGGCAGCAGUGGGGAAUAUUGGACAAUGGGCGCAAGCCUGAUCCAGCCAUACCGCGUGGGUGAAGAAGGCCUUCGGGUUGUAAAGCCCUUUUGUUGGGAAAGAAAAGCAGCAGGUUAAUACCCCGCUGUUCUGACGGUACCCAAAGAAGAAGCACCGGCUAACUUCGU
Molecule: ribosomal RNA, 491 nt
Filed under: uncultured bacterium
Lineage: Bacteria
Description: partial 16S ribosomal RNA
Rfam family: Bacterial small subunit ribosomal RNA
Source: RNAcentral